GCCAGGUGUGAUAGCUCAUGCCUGUAAUCCCAGAACUUUGGGAGGUUGAGAUGGGAGGAUCGCUUGAGCCCAGGAGUUUGAGACCAGCCUGGGCAACAUAGCAAGACCCCAUCUCUU
RNAcentral lists this small RNA (117 nucleotides) under Pongo abelii (Sumatran orangutan). RNAcentral's name for it is "Metazoan signal recognition particle RNA (ENSPPYG00000031081.1)". Lineage: Eukaryota; Metazoa; Chordata; Mammalia; Primates; Hominidae. The record is from Rfam by way of RNAcentral.